UCCGACUUAAAGGUCGGCAGUCCCGUUAGAGUGCCCAACUUAAUGCUGGCAACUAACGGCAAGGGUUGCGCUCGUUGCGGGACUUAACCCAACAUCUCACGACACGAGCUGACGACAGCCAUGCACCACCUGUGAGAGUGCCCCGAAGGGAGGCCGUGUUUCCACGGCUGUCACUCACAUGUCAAGCCCAGGUAAGGUUCUUCGCGUUGCGUCGAAUUAAACCACAUGCUCCGCUGCUUGUGCGGGUCCCCGUCAAUUCCUUUGAGUUUUAGCCUUGCGGCCGUACUCCCCAGGCGGGGCACUUAAUGCGUUAGCGCCGGCACGGGGGGAGUCGACACCCCCCACACCUAGUGCCCAUCGUUUAGGGCGUGGACUAC
Molecule: unclassified non-coding RNA, 377 nt
Filed under: uncultured Thermoleophilia bacterium
Lineage: Bacteria; Bacillati; Actinomycetota; Thermoleophilia
Description: contains 16S-23S intergenic spacer region
Source: RNAcentral